Maniola jurtina (meadow brown) is the source of this 1169-nucleotide long non-coding RNA. RefSeq lists it as uncharacterized. NCBI's taxonomy places the organism in Eukaryota, Metazoa, Arthropoda, Insecta, Lepidoptera, Nymphalidae. The record is from RefSeq and is a predicted model, not a curated record. The transcript is spliced from 2 exons.
UGGUAAAAAUUCUUUUUUAUUUCUCACAAAUGACUGAAAUUGUUAUCAAAACACAAUAUACGUGUUAGCUAACUUUAAAAUACAAGACUGCAAUAAAUACAAAACUGUACUUAAACAUACGGUAUUACGACGAAUUAUUUAUUGGCAAAAUAUUCACCUCACCUACUUUGAUUUGCAAUAUUUAAAAUAAAAUAAAAAAUUAAACUUAACAAUGUUUUUUAAGAUAGCGAACUUUAAAAGUGAUGAUCUCAAAAAAUAUACCUACUAGGUAUACUUUAUCGCAAAAAUAAAUUUCAUUUUUUGUAAAAUAAAUUAGCUUAACUCUUUGAAAACUAAUAUGUAGGCAUGGAGUCUACUCUAUACUAGUUAACAAAAUAUUAGAGAAAACAUUACUUAAAAUGGCAUGCGCCGGUAACCAUAGCUUCCCACGGGAGGCCGUAGUAGAUACGGCUAUUUUGCAAAUAAAGUUUAUCCUAGGAAGGGAUAUAAGUUUUUUCCGAUAAAUAGUUCGGAGUAAUACCUUAUGAGCUUAUUAAUUUAACACAUUCAGAUUCGCGGAUUAAGUUUCAUAAAGACAUUACGAAUCAUACAAAUGUUGCAUAAAUAUUUAAUUAUGUAGUAGGUACUUAAACUAAGAAUAGUUUAAUUAUAAGCAGAAUAAAUAAUUAAUUAAUUAUUAUUUAUUGUAAAGCAUGAUUACUUGAUUACAUAUUUCAUCGGUAACAUCAAUAAGUGUUAAGCUAAUAACAUGAAACAUACUAAGAAAUUCGUUGUAAAUAUAGUACUAAGUAUUUAUCAAAAUGGUCUAUUACAAUAUUAAAAUAGUUGAAAAAGCGGUUAUUUUAUUUACUAGAACUAAAUCUAUAGCCUGAAUGCGACUUAAACUUAGAUAAUUUAUAUUUAAAGAGCAGUUUGAUAAAUCGGGAAUAUUGAUAAUUCGAUAAGCUUAUGCAAAUUACUUAGCUGAAUCGCUAAAUCUGGUUUAUUUUUUGUACCGAUGCCAACAAUAUUUUAAUUAAUAAACGAGAUUUAGCGGGUUCUUGCCAGUGGAUAUACAUUUUAUUAUACAUUUUUAAAAAUUGCUAAAAUAGUAAAAUUGAUAUACCGCGGUAUCUGAAUGUGUUUUAAUAAAUAGUGAUGAAUAAAUAUUAGCUGUUGAUAGUACUAUU